RNAcentral lists this ribosomal RNA (493 nucleotides) under uncultured bacterium. Its description in RNAcentral is "partial 16S ribosomal RNA". It matches the Rfam family "Bacterial small subunit ribosomal RNA", at positions 29 to 508 of the family's 1533-position model. The record is from RNAcentral.
AGUGAACGCUGGCGGUAGGCCUAACACAUGCAAGUCGGACGGCAGCACAGUAAGAGCUUGCUCUUACGGGUGGCGAGUGGCGGACGGGUAAGGAAUACAUCGGAAUCUACUUUUUCGUGGGGGAUAACGUAGGGAAACUUACGCUAAUACCGCAUACGACCUACGGGUGAAAGCAGGGGAUCUUCGGACCUUGCGCGAUUGAAUGAGCCGAUGUCGGAUUAGCUAGUUGGCGGGGUAAAGGCCCACCAAGGCGACGAUCCGUAGCUGGUCUGAGAGGAUGAUCAGCCACACUGGAACUGAGACACGGUCCAGACUCCUACGGGAGGCAGCAGUGGGGAAUAUUGGACAAUGGGCGCAAGCCUGAUCCAGCCAUACCGCGUGGGUGAAGAAGGCCUUCGGGUUGUAAAGCCCUUUUGUUGGGAAAGAAAAGCAGCAGGUUAAUACCCCGCUGUUCUGACGGUACCCAAAGAAUAAGCACCGGCUAACUUCGUGC